This 283-nucleotide unclassified non-coding RNA is filed under the name uncultured Arachnopeziza. Its description in RNAcentral is "sequence contains ITS1". The stretch from base 1 to 105 matches the Rfam family "5.8S ribosomal RNA", at positions 50 to 154 of the family's 154-position model. Lineage: Eukaryota; Fungi; Ascomycota; Leotiomycetes; Helotiales; Hyaloscyphaceae. The record is from RNAcentral.
GAAAUGCGAUAAGUAAUGUGAAUUGCAGAAUUCAGUGAAUCAUCGAAUCUUUGAACGCACAUUGCGCCCUCUGGUAUUCCGGGGGGCAUGCCUGUUCGAGCGUCAUUUAAACCAAUCACGCAAGUGGUAUUGGGGAUUGCCAUCGGCAUCUCUUAAAAGUAGUGGCAGUGCUAUAGGCUCUCAGCGCAGUAAUUAUUUCGCUUUUGAACCCUAAAAACACCCGCCAAAACCCAAAUUUUUCAAGGUUGACCUCGGAUCAGGUAGGGAUACCCGCUGAACUUAA